GUGAGGAAUAUUGGUCAAUGGGCGGGAGCCUGAACCAGCCAAGUCGCGUGAAGGAAGAAGGAUCUAUGGUUCGUAAACUUCUUUUGCAGGGGAAUAAAGUGCAGGACGUGUCCUGUUUUGUAUGUACCCUGAGAAUAAGGAUCGGCUAACUCCGUGCCAGCAGCCGCGGUAAUAAGGAGGAUCCGAGCGUUAUCCGGAUUUAUUGGGUUUAAAGGGUGCGUAGGUGGUUUGAUAAGUCAGCGGUGAAAGUUUGCAGCUUAACUGUAAAAAUGCCGUUGAAACUGUCGGACUUGAGUGUAAAUGAGGUAGGCGGAAUGCGUGGUGUAGCGGUGAAAUGCAUAGAUAUCACGCAGAACUCCGAUUGCGAAGGCAGCUUACUAAGCUACAACUGACACUGAAGCACGAAAGCGUGGGGAUCAAACAGGAUUAGAAACCCGUGUAGUCC
This 445-nucleotide ribosomal RNA is filed under the name uncultured bacterium. RNAcentral describes it as "partial 16S ribosomal RNA". It matches the Rfam family "Bacterial small subunit ribosomal RNA", at positions 354 to 796 of the family's 1533-position model. The record is from RNAcentral.